UACGUAGGGGGCGAGCGUUGUCCGGAUUUAUUGGGCGUAAAGGGCGUGUAGGCGGUCCUGUAAGUCAGGGGUGAAAACCCGGAGCUCAACUCCGGGCCUGCCUCUGAAACUGCGGGACUUGAGUGCUCUAGAGGGUAGUGGAAUUGCCGGUGUAGCAGUGAAAUGCGUAGAGAUCGGCAGGAACACCAGUGGCGAAGGCGACUGCCUGGGGAGUAACUGACGCUGAGGCGCGAAAGCUGGGGGAGCAAACGGG
Molecule: unclassified non-coding RNA, 253 nt
Filed under: uncultured Eubacteriales bacterium
Lineage: Bacteria; Bacillati; Bacillota; Clostridia; Eubacteriales
Description: contains 16S-23S intergenic spacer region
Rfam family: Bacterial small subunit ribosomal RNA
Source: RNAcentral